RNAcentral lists this long non-coding RNA (401 nucleotides) under Mytilus galloprovincialis (Mediterranean mussel). The record is from RNAcentral. Lineage: Eukaryota; Metazoa; Mollusca; Bivalvia; Mytilida; Mytilidae.
GUAUAAUUAUAAAUUUAGUUUUUAGUGGACAUUUUGUGUGUGUGGUUUUUUUUAUUAUCAUUAAUACUACAUAUUUAUAUAAUUGUAUUUACUAGUUUUAUGUUUUUCCAUUUUUUCGGAUACUUUUUUUGUGUUUCCCUCAAACGGAUAAGGGGAACAUCGCCAGUAAGAGGACUGAGGUUGGUCUCCAUAGGAUAUACGACUGUAUGGUGAUAAACAUAUUCACUUAUUGUUGAUAGUUAACAAAACAGAGCAUCUUUAGAAUGCCAGCUUCGGUGAUAUUUUUUUGGUUUGAUUUGACAGUCCCUUGCCUAAUGAAGAUAUCUAUAUUAUCUACGUACGUCAUUUAAAUCGUUUAAGUCUUCAAGUUUAGAAUGAGGACCACUUGAUGAAAGGAUACA